UGCUCACUGUCCGGGGCCGUUUAAGGCCUGGGUGGUCAAGCGAAAGCGUUAAGCAUUCCACCUGGGGAGUACGCCGGCAACGGUGAAACUCAAAGGAAUUGACGGGGGCCCGCACAAGCGGAGGAACAUGUGGUUUAAUUCGAUGAUACGCGAGGAACCUUACCCGGGCUCAAACGGAAGGGGACAGUAUGAGAAAUCAUACAUUCCUUCGGGACCGCUUCCGAGGUGCUGCAUGGUUGUCGUCAGCUCGUGCCGUGAGGUGUCGGCUUAAGUGCCAUAACGAGCGCAACCCCUAUCGACAGUUGCUAGCAGGUAAAGCUGAGGACUCUGUCGAGACUGCCGGCGCAAGCUGUGAGGAAGGCGGGGAUGACGUCAAAUCAGCACGGCCCUUACGUCCGGGGCGACACACGUGUUACAAUGGCAGGUACAGCGGGAAGCCACCCGGCGACGGGGCGCAGAACCCGAAAACCUGUCUCAGUUCGGAUUGGAGUCUGCAACCCGACUCCAUGAAGCUGGAUUCGCUAGUAAUCGCGCAUC
This 537-nucleotide ribosomal RNA is filed under the name uncultured bacterium. RNAcentral's name for it is "bacterial SSU rRNA". It matches the Rfam family "Bacterial small subunit ribosomal RNA", at positions 814 to 1350 of the family's 1533-position model. The record is from RNAcentral.